UUGAAUUUUGGAUGAGAUCAGCCAAGAAACUUAGAUUUCAAAGUAGGGAGUAGUUGAAGUCUCCCUUCUGCAGUGACUGCAACAUUGAUUGUAGAGAUUGAUGGUUAAUGUAGAAUAACGUUUUAAGAUAUUUACUCGACAAAUUAUCUCAGAUCGAUAAUGACUAGUAGAAAUAAACAAUAUUAGUAAAUGCCGUGUCCCAAAGGCAUGUCAAUUGUCAAGUAGUAGUAAUUAACACAAUUUAAUUCAUGAGUGUGAAACAACACCUGAAGUCUAAAAUCUAACUAUUGUGGAUGAUAUAUAGGCCACACAACUUAAACUUAGGCAUCAAGGCAUAGUAAAUGGGAACUAUUUUCUUCCUACUAAUUUUCCUACUGUCUUUCUACUAUUGUAUACCCAAGAUCAUUUCCACUACAACAAAUGUAAUCACGACAAAUCAGUCAAUUGCAGAUGGUGAAACUGUUGUUUCAUCAGGUGGAACCUUUGAGCUGGGAUUUUUCAGCCCCAAUGAUUCUACAAAGCGAUACAUUGGGAUAUGGUACAAACAAAUUCUUCCUCAUAUGCAAACAGUUGUAUGGGUUGCAAACAGAGAGAAACCACUCACCAAUACAUCUUCAGUCGUUUUGAAGGUUAACAAGUGGGGAAUACUUGCUCUUCUCAAUGGCAAGAAUGAAAUGAUAUGGUCCACGAACACCUCAAGAUCAGUCCAAAAUCCAGUUGCAGUGCUUUUAGAUUCUGGUAAUCUUGUUGUCAAAGAUGCAAAUGAUGACAAUCCAGAAAAUUUCCUCUGGCAGAGCUUCCAUUUUCCAACUGAUACGCACUUGCCUGAAAUGAAGCUUGGCAAGAAUUUUAGAACUGGCCAUGAGGUUUACCUUUCAGCAUGGAAGAACGAUAAUGAUCCAGCUGCAGGUGAAUUCACACGUCACAUUGAUCCUACUGGAUAUCCACAAGCCCUCAUCAAAAGUGGCACAAGUGUAGCGGCUCGUAUAGGGCCAUGGAAUGGUUUACGAUGGAGUGGAUCACCCAUACCACUACUAGAAUGCUGCUUUUUUCAAUUUAUUUUCAAUGAGGAGGAGGUUUACUAUAGCUUUUCACUCAUUAACAGCUUGGACUUAACAAGACUAGUCCUGACUAGCAAUGGUUAUAUACAACAUUUAAAGUGGGUGGAUUGGACAAAGAGAUGGCAUAUUUACUACAAUUUACCAGCGGAUUAUUGUGAUACACAUAGCCUAUGUGGUGCCUAUGGGAGCUGUGAUAUAGAUGAUACACCGGUUUGUGGAUGUUUGGAAAAGUUUGUAGCUAGAUAUCCACAACAAUGGGAAAAGGGAGAUUGGUCUGAAGGGUGUGUUCGGAGGACACCCUUAAAUUGCAAAAAGGAACAUGUAUUUAUAAAAUAUUCUGGAAUCAAAUUGCCAAAUACUAAGUACUCUCAGUAUAAUAAAACCAUGACACUCAAAGGGUGUAGGCAAGUAUGCUCCAGGAACUGUUCUUGCACAGCUUAUUCAAGUCUAGAUAUAAGCAACGGAGACAAAGGUUGCUUGUUUUGGUUCGGGGAAUUGAUUGACAUCCGAAAGCUGUCUGAAAGAGGGCAAGACAUUUACAUCAAGAUGGAUUCUUCAGAGCGAGGUAAUAACUUGUUUAAGAAAUUUCCCAUGAUGUGUUUCUUACACUUAGUGGCCUAUCUCGAUUUACCAUGGCUGAUUUAAGAAAUUUAUUGCAGAAUCUGAGGCAGGUUCAAAAAGAAAUAAGGCAAUGAUACUCACACUCAUGAGUUUCUCAUUGUUGAUGGCAAUGAUUCUGCUAAGCCUGAUUUUUUUGUUGCACAAACGGAAAAAGAAGAAGAAACUGCUACUCAAAGAAGAUUUUGCGCUGCAAAUGUUCCAAUUGUCGACAUUAACAAGAGCCACAAAUAACUUUUCGCUCAACAACAAGAUUGGAGAAGGUGGAUUUGGAGCUGUUUACAAGGUAUAUAGAUCAAAUUUGUUUGUAAAGUAACUAGUUUAUGCUCAAGGUUAGAGUGUUGGAGAAGAUUUUAAUUUUGCAAUGUUCUCGUCUUUGUAAAAUCUCUGCUUUGCUAUUAUACAUUUUGUAAAGAAAUGAACCUUGCGUAACUCAACCCCAAAAGCGAGCAUUGCCCAAACCAUAUAAAGAGUCCAAAUUCUCCUCAUCCCACCAACGUGGGACUCAAAGACCCCGUCUCACACUGGACAUCUAGAGAACAAUUAAUAUGGGGGCCCAACAUCGGUAAACCAUAAAUUGGGAUGGGCUUAGCUCUAAAACCAUGUAAUGAAAUGAACCUUGGGCUUAACUCAACUCAAAUGCUAGCUUAUGAGGGGAGGAUUGCCCAAGAUCAUAUAAGGAGUCCAAAUUCUCCUCAUCCCACUGAUGUGGGACUCUAACACAUUUGCCAUUUCUAGGGAUUGCUGGAAGAGGGGCAAGAAAUUGCCGUGAAGAGACUGUCAAGGACUUCCAUGCAAGGAAUUGAUGAGUACAAGAAUGAAGUUAUCUAUAUUGCCAAGCUUCAACAUCGAAAUCUUGUGAGACUUCUGGGCUGCUGCAUCCAAGGGGAUGAAAAGAUGUUGAUCUAUGAAUACAUGCCAAACAGAAGCCUGGAUUCGUACAUAUUUGGUUUGGAUUUCUAACCUACUACACAAGAUAAAAUGAGUAAUACUUUGAUCUAUUAGUCAUAACCUGAAAGAAACUGCUAACGAGAAAACUUAUUUUGUAGAUCAAACAAAGAAAAAAUUACUUGAUUGGCCAAAGCGUUUCCACAUCAUCAAUGGAAUUGCUCGUGGCUUAUUAUAUCUCCAUCAAGAUUCUCGACUACGAAUUAUUCACAGAGACCUUAAAGCAAGCAAUGUUUUGCUAGAUAUAGAAAUGAAUCCAAAGAUAUCAGACUUUGGCAUGGCCAAAAGUGUUACAGGAAAUGAGAUGGGAGCAAAAACACACAAUGUAGUUGGGACAUAGUAAGAAUCUCUAAUAUUAUACAAUGUACUCUCAUAUGACAUCUUGCUUUAAUUCUCAGGGUGUUAUUUUGUUGGCACAGUGGUUACAUGUCCCCAGAAUAUGCAAUAGAUGGGAUCUUCUCGGUAAAAUCAGAUGUAUUUAGCUUUGGCGUCUUGUUGUUAGAGAUUGUGAGUUGCAAGAGAAAUAGAGGGUUUGUCCAUCAAGAUCACAACCUUAACCUUCUCGGUCAUGUAAGCACUGUAUAACCUUUAUUACACACACAACUCAUUCUUUUCUUUACAGUAAUGGAAUUUGUCAUGAUUCAUAACAUCUAAACUCAAACAGGCAUGGAAGCUUUACAAAGAAGAUAAGUCUUUGGAACUAGUUGAUGAGCAGCUGGCUGAUUCUUGCAAUAUUUCUCAAGCUUUGAGGUCAAUCCAAGUGGGUUUAUUAUGCGUGCAACAACAUCCAGAUGAUAGACCAAGCAUGUUUUCUGUGGUUCAGAUGUUGGCUAAUGAGAGUCUACUUCCAAAAGCAAAAGAACCGGGAUUUUUCAUAGAACGAGACGUAUUUGGUGAAGAGAAAUCAGGAUCACAGACAGGAAGUUCAAAAAAUGAUGUCACAAUCACAUUGUUAGAUCCUCGGUAGAGUGUGACAAAGUAACUCUUUUUAGUGGCGGAGACAUGAUUUGGGGGUUCAAAAUAUAAAAUAGUAAACAAGCAAAAAACAAUUGAUGAUAAACGGAGGGGCUAACCUUAAUCCACUACAUUUUAGCUCGCCUUGUCAUGCCUUGCUCCAUUGAGCCAUUCUAAAAAAUUCUUAUGCUUUUUUUCUCUUUUCACUUUGCAGUGUUUAGACCUUUUUUUUCUUUCAUCUGAAUUAGUGCAACUCAUUUUGAUGUCAAUAAACUGCAUUCACCCCAAAAAGUAGUGAGUGCAUUCUUUUACGUCACAUAAAUUGUCAUAUUGCAUUAUACCCCUAGUAAAAUCAUAUAAAAUUCUCAACAAAAUCAAUUUUUGAGAAAGAAUCAUAUUUUCUUAGAAUAAACUAUUUCAAUAACCAAAUGUUGACCAUUCAAAACCCAGCAUAACGUGAGGCCAAAAGACUUUUCACUAACUCUGCUAAAAUGAAGCAAUAUAUUUUGAACCAUUUCAAAACCCAGAGAAGUCCUUAAAGGGUGAGACCACUCUAAUCAGAGAUAAAAAUAUGUAAUGAUACCUCAAAUGAACUGCGCAUUUUCCACUAGCGAAAGACACCUGCUCUCUAAUUUCUAUUCUUUGUUAUUUGUAUCGAACUUAUAUGUUCCAAAGGCGAAAGUCAUUCUUCUGAUUCAAUAGAGCGAUAACUACACUACCCUCUCGAGUUAUUUCAUUUUUUUUUUUAAUGAAAAUUGGAAUCAAUCAGAAAGAAACUUUGAUAUACCAACUAUAAAUUAUUAUUAUUUUUGUAAAGAACAAAUAAGAAAAGCCAGAAUGAAAUCAGAUUCGUUUCUUCUUAAAUAAAGUUUAAUCUAUAAGUGAAUGCCAAUUAACUCAAACGAGUACACAGGUAAUGUAGAAUCACUCCACCAACAAUUUUCCCCAAAUAUCAAAAUCAUGAAAGUAGCAGCAAAGAACUGAAGAAGUAUACCAAAAUAUGGAGCCCUAGCGUUACAACGGAGCGGCGACUGCCGGAGAUGGAGUCUGG
RNAcentral lists this long non-coding RNA (4632 nucleotides) under Solanum tuberosum (potato). RNAcentral describes it as "long non-coding RNA (STUB_LNC005187)". The record is from RNAcentral. Lineage: Eukaryota; Viridiplantae; Streptophyta; Magnoliopsida; Solanales; Solanaceae.